AUAAAAACAAAAACAUUUCUGUGAAAUUGCAUUUUGGGAAAAAAUAAAAUAUCUGCGUAGGCUGUAAUAUUCAUUGAUUUUCUUCUGAAGAUUUUGUAAAAUAUUUUAACAUUAGUGUUAGUGAUGUUGGUUAACCUGAGCUUCCUCACUAGAGCUUUGAUUUUCAUAAUUUAAACAAACAAAAUCUUCUCCACUAGGUGGUGCCAAUAUCCCGUUACAAAACACCACCACUCUCCACCCUUAACCACUACCAAAAAGCCUGAUGUUUUUGUUUUGAUAUUGAAAUUUCACAUCCAAGUUGCUACAUGGAGAAUUUCUCUUUAGUUAUAGGUUGGAGUGUGUAUCUUUAACUUUCAAAAUCUAGAUCAAUUUUGUGGUGUUUCUGUUACUGGGAAAAUACAUUUGUUAAAUUUCAAAUGUAGUUCCCAACAUUGUAAGUAGAGACUAUUUCCACAACCUUUGCAUUGUGAUAAAUCCAGUUCCUUUGCUUUUAUUAAGUUAAUGGAACAAAGUGAUAUGCAAAGUUUCCUAUCAAUUUAUUUGAUUAAAAUCACUUUUAUUAAAGGAAUACCUCUACCCAAAAUGUAGUUCAUCUGCAAAGAGUUGGGCCCAGAGGCCAAUAAUUUUUUUCUGCUUAUUAUUCCAAUUUCAAACAAUAUGUUUAUACUUCUAAUUCUUGAUCUUUCAAAUUUAGUUACUUUUAACAAGAUAUAAAAUAUAAGGCCAUAUCUCUUCCUACCAGCUCCUCAAAAACUUACUUUGUGUAUAGGUGUU
This 774-nucleotide long non-coding RNA is filed under the name Marmota monax (woodchuck). The record is from RNAcentral. Lineage: Eukaryota; Metazoa; Chordata; Mammalia; Rodentia; Sciuridae.